AGCAGCCGCGGUAAUUCCAGCUCCAAUAGCGUAUAUUAAAGUUGUUGCAGUUAAAAAGCUCGUAGUUGAAUUUCGGGAUCAAAUCGUCGGUCGUGCUUUCGGGUACGUACUGGUGUUAUUGGUUUCUCCCUUCUGACGAACCAUGAUGUCAUUAAUUUGGUGUUAUGGGGAGUUAGGACUGUUACUUUGAAAAAAUUAGAGUGUUUAAAGCAGGCAUUAGCUUGAAUACAUUAGCAUGGAAUAAUGAAAUAGGACGUUCGAUCCUAUUUUGUUGGCUUCUAGGAUCAACGUAAUGAUUAAUAGGGAUAUUGGGGGCAUUAGUAUUCAAUUGUCAGAGGUGAAAUUCUUGGAUUUAUUGAAGACUAACUACUGCGAAAGCAUUUGCCAAGGAUGUUUUCAUUAAUCAAGAACGAAAGUUAGGGGAUCGAAGACGAUCAGAUACCGUCGUAGUCUUAACCAUAAACUAUGCCGACUAGGGAUCGGAUGAUGUUAAUUUUUAAUGACUCAUUCGGCGCCUUAA
This 520-nucleotide ribosomal RNA is filed under the name uncultured Glomus. RNAcentral's name for it is "SSU rRNA". It matches the Rfam family "Eukaryotic small subunit ribosomal RNA", at positions 569 to 1091 of the family's 1831-position model. The record is from RNAcentral. Lineage: Eukaryota; Fungi; Glomeromycota; Glomeromycetes; Glomerales; Glomeraceae.